CCUACGGGUGGCAGCAGUGGGGGAUAUUGCACAAUGGGGGAAACCCUGAUGCAGCGACGCCGCGUGGGUGAAGAAGGGCCUCGGCGCGUAAAGCCCUGUCAGCAGGGAAGAAAAUGACGGUACCUGAAGAAGAAGCCACGGCUAACUACGUGCCAGCAGCCGCGGUAAUACGUAGGGGGCAAGCGGUAUCCGGAUUUACUGGGUGUAAAGGGGAGGCAGCGGGGGGUGCAAGCAAGGGGUGAAAGCCCGGGGCCAAACCCCGGUACGGCUCUUGGAAGGUCGUGGCGAGAGGGCGGUGCGGCAGGCGGAAUGCCUGGUGUAGCGGUGAAAUGCGUAGAUAUCAGGAGGAACACCGGUGGCGAAGGCGGCCUGCUGGACUGCAACUGACGUUGAGGCCCGAAAGCGUGGGUAGCAAACAGGAUUAGAUACCCGUGUAGUC
RNAcentral lists this ribosomal RNA (439 nucleotides) under uncultured bacterium. Its description in RNAcentral is "partial 16S ribosomal RNA". It matches the Rfam family "Bacterial small subunit ribosomal RNA", at positions 338 to 795 of the family's 1533-position model. The record is from RNAcentral.